GACGAACGCUGGCGGCGUGCUUAACACAUGCAAGUCGAACGGAAAGGCCCUGCUUUUGUGGGGUGCUCGGGUGGCGAACGGGUGAGUAACACGUGAGUAACCUGCCCUUGACUUUGGGAUAACUUCAGGAAACUGGGGCUAAUACCGGAUAGGAGCUCCUGCUGCAUGGUGGGGGUUGGAAAGUUUCGGCGGUUGGGGAUGGACUCGCGGCUUAUCAGCUUGUUGGUGGGGUAGUGGCUUACCAAGGCUUUGACGGGUAGCCGGCCUGAGAGGGUGACCGGCCACAUUGGGACUGAGAUACGGCCCAGACUCCUACGGGAGGCAGCAGUGGGGAAUAUUGCACAAUGGGCGGAAGCCUGAUGCAGCAACGCCGCGUGCGGGAUGACGGCCUUCGGGUUGUAAACCGCUUUCGCCUGUGACGAAGCGUGAGUGACAGUAAUGGGUAAAGAAGCACCGGCUAACUACGUG
Molecule: ribosomal RNA, 468 nt
Filed under: uncultured bacterium
Lineage: Bacteria
Description: partial 16S ribosomal RNA
Rfam family: Bacterial small subunit ribosomal RNA
Source: RNAcentral